UAAAUCAGUUACCAUUUACCAUUUAGCCUUUGUUAAUAUUGUUUUAAAUAAUAUAGUUGGACUUUUCAACACCCAUUUACCAUUUUCCGCCGCCCCUUUUGUUUUUUCUUUGGUUUUAAACAGAUUCUAUCAUCUGGGUCUUAAGUUUUGAUAUUAAAGUUUGGAUUUUUAGAUUUGUGCAUUAGGGUUUUUGGUUUUUAUGGAGAAUUUGGGUUUUUUUCAGGCACCGAGGAGUUUGUUGACGAAGUUGCAGAGGGAGAUGAACAGAUUUCAGGAUCCACCAUUGCUGGGUGCGUAUAUCUAUUUGAAGGAGCAGAAGGUGAUGGUGGAUCAUGAAAGGGCAUUGUUGAACAAGAGAAAAAUAGGGUGCAGAUGCUGUUGCAGGGUAAUCAAUCCCUUGCUCUCUCACCCAUAUGUGCAGGGUCUUGGUAUUUAUGGAGAUUUUGGGUAAUAGUUAAUCAUCUUGAAAUUAACGACAGAGGGAGAAAGGAGACGAAGUUGCAGAGACAACAAAUUUCAAAUUCUAAGGAAGAUGAACCAAAAUGGAAGAUGAAAAGGAUGAUAUUUGGGUUCCUCAUCUCUGAAAGAUGAAGAAUUGAAGAUGAAGAAGUAUGAGAUUAGGGUUUACUGGUGGUGUGUUGAGGAUGAACCAAGAACAAUAGAAUAUGAACCAGCAAUGUCUACUUCAAUCUUCAAACUAAAUCUCACUCAUGGUAAAAACUCAUAUUAACCAGGGGCAACUUUCUAACAAUUGCUAAAAAAUCCUUCUCAAAAUUAA
This is a long non-coding RNA of Lotus japonicus, 778 nucleotides long. RefSeq lists it as uncharacterized. The transcript is spliced from 2 exons. The record is from RefSeq and is a predicted model, not a curated record. Lineage: Eukaryota; Viridiplantae; Streptophyta; Magnoliopsida; Fabales; Fabaceae.